AUGAACGCUGGCGGCGUGCCUAAUACAUGUAAGUCGAGCGCACAGACGAGGAGCUUGCUCCUCUGACGUUAGCGGCGGACGGGUGAGUAACACGUGGAUAACCUACCUAUAAGACUGGGAUAACUUCGGGAAACCGGAGCUAAUACCGGAUAAUAUAUUGAACCGCAUGGUUCAAUAGUGAAAGACGGUUUUGCUGUCACUUAUAGAUGGAUCCGCGCCGCAUUAGCUAGUUGGUAAGGUAACGGCUUACCAAGGCGACGAUGCGUAGCCGACCUGAGAGGGUGAUCGGCCACACUGGAACUGAGACACGGUCCAGACUCCUACGGGAGGCAGCAGUAGGGAAUCUUCCGCAAUGGGCGAAAGCCUGACGGAGCAACGCCGCGUGAGUGAUGAAGGUCUUCGGAUCGUAAAACUCUGUUAUUAGGGAAGAACAAAUGUGUAAGUAACUAUGCACGUCUUGACGGUACCUAAUCAGAAAGCCACGGCUAACUACGUG
This 496-nucleotide ribosomal RNA is filed under the name uncultured bacterium. Its description in RNAcentral is "partial 16S ribosomal RNA". It matches the Rfam family "Bacterial small subunit ribosomal RNA", at positions 29 to 507 of the family's 1533-position model. The record is from RNAcentral.